GAAUGCCAUUAUAACAAAGAAGAAGGUACAUUUGACAACUAUUUUAUGUAGCUCUUCCUGAGGAUUCUCGACAGCGGGAGAAAUGUGCUGCCCCCUCCUGGUGAAUCCAUGUCCUGCUGCUGACAUCAGUAUUUGACAUAAGUAUUUGUGUCUCUGAGCUGUAGUUGUCCUCAGUGGCUGAGAGGACCACAGACAUUCAGAGUGACCUGGGGGUGUGACGGUGAAACAAGCUCAUCAAGAGUGAAAGAUGUGUAUCAUCUUAAAAUAAGCAGUCUCAAACCUGGUGAAAAGUACCAGUUCAACAUGGCUACAGAGGGAGAAGAUGGAAGACAAAGCAGAUGGAUCUCAGCAUCCCUAUCCACAGUUGUCCCACCCAGAGUUUUAAAGAUCGACCAUUUGGAAGAGACCUCCUUCACUCUCCACUGGUCCAAGGCUGAAGGGAUGGAGAAAGUCCCACAGCGCUUCUUCAUAUCCAACUGCAUCCCAGGAACAGACCCCUCACAGCCGUUACUGACGACUGCCACAAAACCUUCUCAAACCUGCAUCCUGGCACCAAGUACACUGUUAGUGUUGCAACUGUGCUGAGCAAUGGGGAACAGAGUGAACCUGUCU
Long non-coding RNA from Oncorhynchus nerka (sockeye salmon), 612 nucleotides. RefSeq lists it as uncharacterized. The record is from RefSeq and is a predicted model, not a curated record. Lineage: Eukaryota; Metazoa; Chordata; Actinopteri; Salmoniformes; Salmonidae. The transcript is spliced from 3 exons.